Molecule: ribosomal RNA, 1039 nt
Filed under: Enterococcus faecium
Lineage: Bacteria; Bacillati; Bacillota; Bacilli; Lactobacillales; Enterococcaceae
Description: bacterial SSU rRNA
Rfam family: Bacterial small subunit ribosomal RNA
Source: RNAcentral
AAAUGGGGGGGUGCUAUACAUGCAGUCGAACGCUUCUUUUUCCACCGGAGCUUGCUCCACCGGAAAAAGAGGAGUGGCGAACGGGUGAGUAACACGUGGGUAACCUGCCCAUCAGAAGGGGAUAACACUUGGAAACAGGUGCUAAUACCGUAUAACAAUCAAAACCGCAUGGUUUUGAUUUGAAAGGCGCUUUCGGGUGUCGCUGAUGGAUGGACCCGCGGUGCAUUAGCUAGUUGGUGAGGUAACGGCUCACCAAGGCCACGAUGCAUAGCCGACCUGAGAGGGUGAUCGGCCACAUUGGGACUGAGACACGGCCCAAACUCCUACGGGAGGCAGCAGUAGGGAAUCUUCGGCAAUGGACGAAAGUCUGACCGAGCAACGCCGCGUGAGUGAAGAAGGUUUUCGGAUCGUAAAACUCUGUUGUUAGAGAAGAACAAGGAUGAGAGUAACUGUUCAUCCCUUGACGGUAUCUAACCAGAAAGCCACGGCUAACUACGUGCCAGCAGCCGCGGUAAUACGUAGGUGGCAAGCGUUGUCCGGAUUUAUUGGGCGUAAAGCGAGCGCAGGCGGUUUCUUAAGUCUGAUGUGAAAGCCCCCGGCUCAACCGGGGAGGGUCAUUGGAAACUGGGAGACUUGAGUGCAGAAGAGGAGAGUGGAAUUCCAUGUGUAGCGGUGAAAUGCGUAGAUAUAUGGAGGAACACCAGUGGCGAAGGCGGCUCUCUGGUCUGUAACUGACGCUGAGGCUCGAAAGCGUGGGGAGCAAACAGGAUUAGAUACCCUGGUAGUCCACGCCGUAAACGAUGAGUGCUAAGUGUUGGAGGGUUUCCGCCCUUCAGUGCUGCAGCUAACGCAUUAAGCACUCCGCCUGGGGAGUACGACCGCAAGGUUGAAACUCAAAGGAAUUGACGGGGGCCCGCACAAGCGGUGGAGCAUGUGGUUUAAUUCGAAGCAACGCGAAGAACCUUACCAGGUCUUGACAUCCUUUGACCACUCUAGAGAUAGAGCUUCCCCUUCGGGGGCAAAGUGACAGGUGGUGCAU